RNAcentral lists this transfer RNA (95 nucleotides) under Citrobacter freundii. Its description in RNAcentral is "tRNA-Sec". It matches the Rfam family "Selenocysteine transfer RNA". Lineage: Bacteria; Pseudomonadati; Pseudomonadota; Gammaproteobacteria; Enterobacterales; Enterobacteriaceae. The record is from RNAcentral.
GGAAGAUCGUCAUCUCCGGUGAGGUGGCUGGACUUCAAAUCCAGUUGGGGACGCCAGCGUUCCCGGGCAGGUUCGACUCCUGUGUUCUUCCGCCA